ACGUAGGUGGCAAGCGUUGUCCGGAAUUAUUGGGCGUAAAGGGCGCGCAGGCGGCGUCGUAAGUCGGUCUUAAAAGUGCGGGGCUUAACCCCGUGAGGGGACCGAAACUGCGAUGCUAGAGUAUCGGAGAGGAAAGCGGAAUUCCUAGUGUAGCGGUGAAAUGCGUAGAUAUUAGGAGGAACACCAGUGGCGAAAGCGGCUUUCUGGACGACAACUGACGCUGAGGCGCGAAAGCCAGGGGAGCAUACGA
Molecule: ribosomal RNA, 250 nt
Filed under: uncultured bacterium
Lineage: Bacteria
Description: partial 16S ribosomal RNA
Rfam family: Bacterial small subunit ribosomal RNA
Source: RNAcentral